RNAcentral lists this ribosomal RNA (395 nucleotides) under uncultured bacterium. RNAcentral's name for it is "bacterial SSU rRNA". It matches the Rfam family "Bacterial small subunit ribosomal RNA", at positions 29 to 428 of the family's 1533-position model. The record is from RNAcentral.
AUUGAACGCUGGCGGCAUGCCUUACACAUGCAAGUCGAGCGGCAGCGCGGGGGCAACCCUGGCGGCGAGCGGCGCACGGGUGAGUAAUACAUCGGAACGUGUCCUUUCGUGGGGGAUAACCAGUCGAAAGACUGGCUAAUACCGCAUGAGAUCUCACGAUGAAAGCGGGGGACCGCAAGGCCUCGCGCGAUUGGAGCGGCCGAUGUCGGAUUAGCUAGUUGGCGGGGUAAAAGCCCACCAAGGCGACGAUCCGUAGCUGGUUUGAGAGAACGACCAGCCACACUGGGACUGAGACACGGCCCAGACUCCUACGGGAGGCAGCAGUGGGGAAUUUUGGACAAUGGGGGCAACCCUGAUCCAGCCAUGCCGCGUGUGUGAAGAAGGCCUCGGUGUAA